Molecule: long non-coding RNA, 537 nt
Organism: Nerophis ophidion (straightnose pipefish)
Lineage: Eukaryota; Metazoa; Chordata; Actinopteri; Syngnathiformes; Syngnathidae
Exons: 4
Source: RefSeq, a predicted model, not a curated record
CCUCAAACCGGAACUGGCACAGCAGCUGUAGCCAAUCGACAUCACUAAACCGGAAGUGAAUGGCGCUCGACUCUGUCAAGGUAAAAUACUUUCGCGAUCCUUCAGCACCGCCUAUUAAAGGAUUUCGCUGCAGUCAAUCAAGAUCACGAACCGGAAGUGAAUGAGGCUCGACCGUGUCCAGUUAAAAGAACUUCCGGAUCCUUCAGCACCCCUUAUUGAAGGAUUAAGGUGUGUUGACGCCAGAGUCUCUGAGAGAAGUCACGGCAGCUGCAGGAGGACGCUGGCUCCGCUGAUCUCCGAUCCACACCUGCUAAAAAAGUCAAAUGGGUCGUCAUCAUUCCAGCAGGCACAAGACAUCGAUAUGUUGAUUUUACAUAUGUUUUAUGAAACUGACUUCUAAACAAAGUUGCAAAAUUGUUGUUUGUAAAAUUGAGACAAAGUUGAUGUUUUAACGUUGGCUCCCCAUUGUUGGUUGGGAAAUGACCAAAUUUCUAUGGUCGAAUCAACGUCAAAACACAACACUGAUUAAACUUUGUC